CAGCCUCCAGAGAUCCUGUUCUACACCAGACCAGUGGAGCCAGACUGCAGCCAGAUCAGAGAUCACCAUCCUCAUCUGAUUGUAAGUAAGCAAUCUAGUAUAUUAUUAGUGACACUAAUCUCUAAUUUACCUCACAAUAAAUGGACACUAUAGUCCCCAGAACCACUGCAGCUUAAUAAAGUUGUUCUGGUGUCUAUAGUUUGUCCCUGCAGGCUUUUUAAUGUAAACACACACUGUGUGCAGCACUGGCAUUAGUUCAUAUGGGUGG
This is a non-coding RNA of Pelobates cultripes (western spadefoot toad), 268 nucleotides long. Lineage: Eukaryota; Metazoa; Chordata; Amphibia; Anura; Pelobatidae. The record is from the annotation of a GenBank genome assembly.